UACGAAGGGGGCUAGCGUUGCUCGGAAUUACUGGGCGUAAAGCGCACGUAGGCGGGUUCUUAAGUCGGUGGUGAAAUCCUGGAGCUCAACUCCAGAACUGCCUUCGAAACUGGGAAUCUUGAGUCCGGGAGAGGUGAGUGGAACUGCGAGUGUAGAGGUGAAAUUCGUAGAUAUUCGCAAGAACACCAGUGGCGAAGGCGGCUCACUGGCCCGGUACUGACGCUGAGGUGCGAAAGCGUGGGGAGCAAACAGG
This 253-nucleotide ribosomal RNA is filed under the name uncultured bacterium. Its description in RNAcentral is "partial 16S ribosomal RNA". It matches the Rfam family "Bacterial small subunit ribosomal RNA", at positions 524 to 776 of the family's 1533-position model. The record is from RNAcentral. RNAcentral also lists the same sequence under 1 other name.